CAUUUCCUGCCGUGCACGACCAACCUGACAAAACAAGAGCCCGGACCGUUAAGAAAUCGCGACGGGAACCUUAGCAAGACGGCGGCUGUCAUGCCUCUUUUACAGGAAGGCAAAAGUUGACGUUGCGGGUGCCCACCUGACCAUUCAGGAACGUGAGCUCCAACACCCAGGGACGGCAUGUGCGGGGCCUUC
This 192-nucleotide non-coding RNA is filed under the name Verrucomicrobiales bacterium. Its description in RNAcentral is "6S RNA". It matches the Rfam family "6S / SsrS RNA". Rfam says of the family: E. coli 6S RNA was the first non coding RNA to be sequenced, but its function was unknown until recently. It consists of 184 nucleotides that fold into an extended hairpin structure with a large single-stranded internal bulge. Lineage: Bacteria; Pseudomonadati; Verrucomicrobiota; Verrucomicrobiia; Verrucomicrobiales. RNAcentral also lists the same sequence under 2 other names. The record is from RNAcentral.